ACCAGGAAUACAACAGAAAAUCACACAGAGCUCUGCAUCAGAGAGAAGUAAAUACAGAUUGCCAAUGUAUUUCAAACCCAUUCUGAGACUCCCGCUUCAAACUCUGCAAAGGAAGGGAGCUGAAUGAAAGGAGAAAAUGUGAAGCAAGUAUCUUUUUCAGUCAGCUCCCACAACUGUUUCAGCUUCAUUUUCAUCUCUUCCAGUCUUGAAUCCUUUUCCAUAACUUCCCACUGAAGCCGAGUAAUUUCAGCACGGAGAAAGCAAUCUUGUUUUGUAUGAAUAUGGUGGUGGAUAUGGUUUUUGAGAUCUCUCUCUCUGGCAAAUCCAUUUCCUGAGCUUCGAUCACAGUCUGA
RNAcentral lists this small RNA (353 nucleotides) under Histoplasma capsulatum. RNAcentral describes it as "hypothetical RNA". The record is from RNAcentral. RNAcentral also lists the same sequence under 1 other name. Lineage: Eukaryota; Fungi; Ascomycota; Eurotiomycetes; Onygenales; Ajellomycetaceae.